Molecule: non-coding RNA, 1358 nt
Organism: Pelobates cultripes (western spadefoot toad)
Lineage: Eukaryota; Metazoa; Chordata; Amphibia; Anura; Pelobatidae
Source: the annotation of a GenBank genome assembly
GAAAAUUGGGCAGACUAGAUGGGCCGAAUGGUUCUUAUCUGCCGUCACAUUCUAUGUUUCUAUGUUUCUAUGUGUGUAUUUAUUAAAGACUGAAUACUCAUUGCCUUAUCUUGCCUUGUGAGCUCCUUACCUGUAGUUACAGGUAACACAAAUAAUAUCUGUCUGUAAGAAAAGGCUGAGUCUGGUAGAGAAUUAGACUCUAUUAUUAAAAAAAAACAAAAAAAAACUAUUUUGUAAAAUGAAUCACUGCAUGUUUAAACUUACCUAAAUGUUCUCCAUCAACCUCCUAAAUGUGAAUGAAGCCUGCCGUAAGCAGCUGGGAGGGACUGAAAGAACAGAGACCCAGGUACCUAUACUAGUCGUUAAUCUAAAUUAUUAAUGCACUUACCCAAAAAAGCUGCAGCCCUGUGUUUCAGUGGCAAAAUGGGGAUUUGAACAACUGACAGCCUAAACUGUUUAAACUAUAGGCUUCCAUCUGUACCCCAUAUGCCAUUCGUCAUAAUCCCGGAUAUGGUGGAAUACAUAGAAGAGAUCCAGGUAGUCACCUUAUGGAAGUGCUGUUUGCUGGGUCUUCAGGGAAAGAGACCCUGGCUGUAAAGUGACAAAAAGAAAAUAGGCGCACCGACCUCACUACUCCAGACCUCCGUUCCGACUAUCACCACGCCGGCCGACGCUAUAUUCGUACCGACGUUGUUACCGAAACAAUUUACCCAUGCAGCCAGGCGCUAAUGACGCGCAAAAUCACGCAAGUCACCUGACUUCACUUAUACAUCUAUUUCUUAAUACAUAAGCCUUGUUUUUUCACCACACUAUAAUAUGAACCACUGUAACUGUAAUAUCUACUAUAUACAUAGGUUUUAAUCUGUUUUAUGAAUUUAAUUAUGUUGAUUGUGAUUGGCUGUCCUCAGUUUUGGAACCAAUUUUAAUCACUCUUACUCCUACGAUACCUGGCAGUAUGGGUUUAAAUGUUUUAUUCCAUUUUGAAGAAGCCAUGUAGGCGAAACGCGUUGUACAAAUUUAAAGCUAAAUAAAGGUUUGUUUUUUUUGGUCACUUGUUUGUGCCAGUCAUCUUUUUAAAUACACUCUGAUUUAUUUUUUUACCUGGCAUUUUAUUAUUCUGCACUCCAAGAUAUAGGUGGGGAUCAUACCACCAACGCUAACAUCAAAGAGCAGUUAGCCUGCUCUAUACUUGCGAGUACUAUUUUUAUUUAUUUAAUACUGAUAUUUUAAUACAAUGAGCACUAUCAGUUGUCUUUUUACCCCUCACCAGAGCGUUGGACAUUCCCCUGAUGGAUUAUACCGUUGUACGCCCUUCACGCUAGAGCUAGUUAUUGCUCUCAUAAAUGUGAGUUUAUUCC